UCUCACGUUGCAUCUCUCGAUCUCGUCCCCGCCUCGCAGGUAUCAAAAUCAUGGCGCAGCGCUGUCGCCUCCUCCCUCCGCCGCUCCUCUCGCCGUCGCUUCCCGUGGCUCAUCUUCCAUAUCCAGAGCCGCCACCGCCCCUUUCGCCUUGUCGCCACCCUCGCCUACGACCCUCAUUCCCGCGCAUGGUUCCCAAUCUCACGCGCCAGCGGUGCCGCCCCUCCUGCCGCCGCCCUCCACUCCUCCCACCCGGGCCUCCUCCAUGCGCUCUCCCCCUCCCAGCUCGCCAUCUCGACUGACGCCUUCGGCUCAACUUGGCGCCACCUCCGCGGAUCCGAG
Molecule: unclassified non-coding RNA, 339 nt
Filed under: Hevea brasiliensis (rubber tree)
Lineage: Eukaryota; Viridiplantae; Streptophyta; Magnoliopsida; Malpighiales; Euphorbiaceae
Source: RNAcentral